GAUGAAGAACGUAGCGAAAUGCGAUAAGUAAUGUGAAUUGCAGAAUUCAGUGAAUCAUCGAAUCUUUGAACGCACAUUGCGCCCGUCAGUAUUCUGGCGGGCAUGCCUGUUCGAGCGUCAUUACGCCCCUCAAGUCCCCUGUGGACUUGGUGUUGGGGAUCGGCGAGGCUGGUUUUCCAGCACAGCCGUCCCUUAAAUUAAUUGGCGGUCUCGCCGUGGCCCUCCUCUGCGCAGUAGUAAAACACUCGCAACAGGAGCCCGGCGCGGUCCACGGCCGUAAAACCCCCCAACUUUUUAUAGUUGACCUCGAAUCAGGUAGGACUACCCGCUGAACUUAAGCAUAUCAAUAAGCGGAGGA
Molecule: unclassified non-coding RNA, 358 nt
Filed under: soil metagenome
Description: partial contains 5.8S ribosomal RNA, internal transcribed spacer 2, and large subunit ribosomal RNA
Rfam family: 5.8S ribosomal RNA (bases 1-120)
Source: RNAcentral